CAGGUCUCCUGGCAGACAUGGCAGCAUUUCACAAUACAGCCAGGGGUUGCACCUGGGCGAGCCAAAGUCCCUUCAUUUCCCUGAAAACAGGGCUGGGCCUUUCAGGGCUCCUCCUUCACCCCCCCCCCAGGGAUGGCUGGAGGGAGGAAACUGGCUCUCUUACUGGUAAUCAGCCUCUAGCCAGAGUGCAGGAGCAGGAUGAUGCCCUUCCAGGCUGGCCCCAGCCUCUGCCCAAGAUUGCUUAAGGCAGGUGAGUGACCUGCGGGGUGGGGGGGAGGGAGGGCAAAGUGUCUGUCCAGGGAGGGUGAUGUCAUCUCCCCAGGUGGGUGCUAUUUGCCGAACCUCUGCGCACCAAAUAAAUAAGCUUUUCAGAGAGAGAAACCCACUAAACAAGCCCAGCCAAGAGGGAGGCCACACCUGUGUGCAGGGCGAAGGGUUAAGCCGCCACUGCCCUGGGAUUGCAGCUACCCAAAAUAAAGACAAGUGAGGCUUCUGAGUCCUCCGGAAUCCCCCCUCGGGCUGGAGGGAAGCAAAGCAGGAGGUUUGAAGAAGAAGAAAUUGAAGAAGAAAUUCCGACGAAAGAAGAAUGGCAGGCGAAAUUAAUGGGCUAUGCAGAAUUGGACAAAAUGACGGGAAGGAUUCGAAACCUGCAGGACCAGAGAUUUACACAAGAUUGGAAGAAGUAUAUGAAUUAUUUGAAGAGCAACUGUAAUCAACAAAUUAUGCCAGUAGGACUGUGAGAAGUUUUGUAAGGAGAAAUAUACGAGGUGUUACAAAGUAGAAAAAAAUAGAGAUAUUGGUUAUGUGUUUGAAAUGUACCGUAUUUUUCGCCCUAUAGGACGCACUUCUUCCCCUCCAAAAAUGAAAAUGUGUGUGCGUCCUAUGGGGCGAAUGCAGGCUUUCGCUGAAGCCUGGAGAGCCCCACCGCCAGCCCCACAAGCUCGGGGGACAGCGGGGAGGCGGAACGCCGCCAUCCCGCUGUCCCCCGACUUGGUUAGAAGGCUGGCGGGGGGGAGAAGCCUGCUCCUCCCCGUCGCCAGCCCCGCAAACUCGGGGGACAGCAGGGAGGCGCAGCGCACCAUCCCGCUGUCUCCCGACCUGGUUUGGAGGCUGGCAGAGGGCUUCCCCCUCCCCCAGUCCUGCAAGCUCCUAGAGCUUCGGCAUGGCUCUGGGUCCCGUUCUGGGGGCUGGGGUCGGGGGAAGCUCAGGCUUCCCCCGCCCAGCCCCGUGCCGGGGGGGGGGGAAAUAAUUUUUCCCCCUUUAUUCCCCCCCCAAAUCUAGGUGCGUCCUAUGGGGCGAAAAAUACGGUAAUAGGGAAAAUAAGAAAUGCAUACUAAGAGAUUAGAUCGGAAAAUUUUCAGACAGGAGUCAUGGAAGUAAAAAAAAAAUUGAAUAAGAUGUAAAAGUAUGUUUAAUUAUUGUUGAAAAUGGUACGUUAAAAAACUAAUAAAAAUUUAUAUUAAAAAAAAGGUAGCAAAGCAGGAGGACCACAGAAUGGCAGAGUUGGAAGGGAUCCUGAUCUAGUCCUAGUCAAUCUAGUCAUUUGAGAGCCAGUGUGGUGUAGUGGUGAAGAGCGGUGGAUUCGUAAUCUGGGGAACCGGGUUUGAGUCUCCGCUCCUCCACAUGCAGCUGCUGGGUGACCUUGGGCCAGUCACACUUCUCUGAAGUCUCUCAGCCCCACUCACCUCACAGAGUGUUUGUUGUGGGGGAGGAAGGGAAAGGAGAUUGUUAGCCGCUUUGAGACUCCUGAAGGGAGUGAAAGGCGGGAUAUCAAAUCCAAACUCUUCUUCUUCUUCCAGCUGAAUAAUCCCUGACGGAUGGCCACCCAACCUCUGCCCUGAAACCUCCAAGGAAGGAGAGCCCACCGCCUUCCCAGGGAGUCCGUUCCAUUGCUGAGAAGCUCUCAUUCGCCAGGAGCAGAGAGAGAGUCACCCACAGCUUCCUCCCUUCAGCUGACCCAGGGCGGCUUCAGAGGCUCCCCUGGGACUCAGAUGUUUCUCAAAACUGGGGGGUCAUAGCAUGUCCCUUGCAGAAUAGAAUGCAUCUCCCAAGCUCCCCAUGGCCUGCCAGAACUGCAAGUUAAAAGUCAGAAGAUCCCUUGGAUAAGAUGAGGGAAAUAUACACAUUUUUGCGCCCUCCAGGGUUGUCCACCCAUCACUAGUGAAAGAUAGACAGGAACGAAGUUGCUUUCAAAGCAGUGACUUGAACACACACAAAUGGGGAGUUCCUUGUACAGUCAAACCUCGGCUGUCGAUCAUAAUCCAUUACGUAAGCCUCUUCAGCUUCCAAAAUGUUCAACAACCGAGGCGCGGGUUUCAAUUUGCUGCAGGAGCUUCCUGCACUCAGCUGAAGCCGCUUCGGACAUUCGGCUUCUGAAAAACAGAACAUUUACUUCCAGGUUUUCAGGGUUCGGGUGCCAAAACAUUCCGAAACGGAGGCGUUUGGGAUCCGAGGUUUGACUGUACAUAAAAUAUGAGGGUUGUUUAGUACUGCUGGGCCCUGAACCAGCACCAGGGGGAGGGGGGCUUCUCCCCGUCACCCACUGUGCCCUCCAGAGACGCACCUGCCUUUGCCACCUGAUCCAAAGCGCCACCAAAAUAGCUGGAGAACGAGGAGCCCUGGCAGGCAUUGUGCAGGGGGCACGGCAGGCGGGGAGAAGACCCUCUCCAAGGACAACGGGUGCUGGGAAGCAAAGGGAGCCUUGCUUGGCCACUGCCUCGCCCCGCUCCGUCUGAGACCACUGAGCAAUGCUGCCCUCCUUUCUGGCAGCAGUUCAAUGGAUGUCGGAAACUGAACCCGGGACCUUCUGCAGGUAAAGCAGAUGUUCUCUGGCCCCAUUCCCGAAAAAAUCGCCAAUGGGAGUGUCUCACAGAGCUGCUCUGGCUGCCCAUCUGCUACCCAGCCAGGUUCAAAGUCCUUCUAUUAAUUGACAAUGCCCUGAAGAAUUUGGGUCCAGGGUACCUCAGGAAUCGCCUGAACCUUCUGAUCCAGCUCAAUCACUGAAGGAAGCUCGUUUUACAACAUCUGCCUCAUUGACCCGGUCCUGUGGAACUCCCUGCCAAUGGAGAUUCAGCGGGCGCCUUCUGUGCCAAGUUUUAAAAGCCUGCUGAAAACUUUACUCUUCCAUCGGGCCCAAGCAGGCAGUUAAUAUAUCCCUUCCACAAUCGUCUACUGAUGUUUGUUUUUAAUUCUUUUGCUUUGAACUUGUUUCUAAGUUUUUCUUAUUUUACUGUGUGGC
This 3238-nucleotide long non-coding RNA is filed under the name Podarcis lilfordi (Lilford's wall lizard). Lineage: Eukaryota; Metazoa; Chordata; Lepidosauria; Squamata; Lacertidae. The record is from RNAcentral.